This 253-nucleotide ribosomal RNA is filed under the name uncultured Rhizobium sp. RNAcentral's name for it is "partial 16S ribosomal RNA". It matches the Rfam family "Bacterial small subunit ribosomal RNA", at positions 524 to 776 of the family's 1533-position model. Lineage: Bacteria; Pseudomonadati; Pseudomonadota; Alphaproteobacteria; Hyphomicrobiales; Rhizobiaceae. The record is from RNAcentral.
UACGAAGGGGGCUAGCGUUGUUCGGAAUUACUGGGCGUAAAGCGCAUGUAGGCGGAUAUUUAAGUCAGGGGCGAAAUCCCGCAGCUCAACUGCGGAACUGCCUUUGAUACUGGGUAUCUUGAGUAUGGAAGAGGUGAGUGGAAUUCCGAGUGUAGAGGUGAAAUUCGUAGAUAUUCGGAGGAACACCAGUGGCGAAGGCGGCUCACUGGUCCAUUACUGACGCUGAGGUGCGAAAGCGUGGGGAGCAAACAGG